This 465-nucleotide ribosomal RNA is filed under the name uncultured bacterium. RNAcentral describes it as "partial 16S ribosomal RNA". It matches the Rfam family "Bacterial small subunit ribosomal RNA", at positions 28 to 507 of the family's 1533-position model. The record is from RNAcentral.
GACGAACGCUGGCGGCGUGCUUAACACAUGCAAGUCGAACGGAAAGGCCCUGCUUGCAGGGUACUCGAGUGGCGAACGGGUGAGUAACACGUGGGUGAUCUGCCCUGCACUUCGGGAUAAGCCUGGGAAACUGGGUCUAAUACCGGAUAGGAGCCAUUUUUAGUGUGAUGGUUGGAAAGUUUUUUCGGUGUAGGAUGAGCUCGCGGCCUAUCAGCUUGUUGGUGGGGUAAUGGCCUACCAAGGCGGCGACGGGUAGCCGGCCUGAGAGGGUGGACGGCCACAUUGAGACUGGGAUACGGCCCAGACUCCGACGGGAGGCAGCAGUGGGGAAUAUUGCUCAAGGGGCGCAAGCCUGAUGCAGCGACGCCGCGUGGGGGAUGGCGGCCUUCGGGUUAGAGACGCCUUUCGCUAUGGACGGGGCUGUUUGUGACGGUACCGGGAUAAGAAGCACCGGCUAACUACGUG